RNAcentral lists this ribosomal RNA (253 nucleotides) under uncultured bacterium. Its description in RNAcentral is "partial 16S ribosomal RNA". It matches the Rfam family "Bacterial small subunit ribosomal RNA", at positions 524 to 776 of the family's 1533-position model. The record is from RNAcentral.
UACGUAGGGGGCAAGCGUUGUCCGGAAUCAUUGGGCGUAAAGAGCGCGUAGGCGGUCCGGUAAGUCCGCUCUGAAAGUCCGGGGCUCAACCCCGGAAAGCGGGCGGAUACUGUCGGGCUAGAGUCCGGAAGAGGCGAGUGGAAUUCCUGGUGUAGCGGUGAAAUGCGCAGAUAUCAGGAGGAACACCAAUGGCGAAGGCAGCUCGCUGGGACGUGACUGACGCUGAGACGCGAAAGCGUGGGGAGCAAACAGG